Molecule: ribosomal RNA, 250 nt
Filed under: uncultured prokaryote
Description: partial 16S ribosomal RNA
Rfam family: Bacterial small subunit ribosomal RNA
Source: RNAcentral
UACGGAGGAUGCGAGCGUUAUCCGGAUUCAUUGGGUUUAAAGGGUGCGUAGGCGGCUUGUUAAGCGUGUGGUGAAACGCCGGGGCUCAACCUCGGAACUGCCUCGCGAACUGGCUGGCUUGAAUGCUCCUGCCGUGGGAGGAAUGUGUGGUGUAGCGGUGAAAUGCAUAGAGAUCACACAGAACACCGAUUGCGAAGGCAUCUCACGAAGGGGUGAUUGACGCUGAGGCACGAAAGCGUGGGGAGCAAAC